GACGAACGCUGGCGGCGUGCUUAACACAUGCAAGUCGAACGGAAAGGCCCUGCUUUUGUGGGGUGCUCGAGUGGCGAACGGGUGAGUAACACGUGAGUAACCUGCCCUUGAAUUUGGGAUAACUUCAGGAAACUGGGGCUAAUACAGGAUAGGAGCUCCUGCUGCAUGGGGGGGGUUGGAAAGUUUCGGCGGUUGGGGAUGGACUCGCGGCUUAUCAGCUUGUUGGUGGGGUAGUGGCUUACCAAGGCUUUGACGGGUAGCCGGCCUGAGAGGGUGACCGGCCACAUUGGGACUGAGAUACGGCCCAGACUCCUACGGGAGGCAGCAGUGGGGAAUAUUGCACAAUGGGCGGAAGCCUGAUGCAGCAACGCCGCGUGCGGGAUGACGGCCUUCGGGUUGUAAACCGCUUUCGCCUGUGACGAAGCGUGAGUGACGGUAAUGGGUAAAGAAGCACCGGCUAACUACGUG
This 468-nucleotide ribosomal RNA is filed under the name uncultured bacterium. RNAcentral's name for it is "partial 16S ribosomal RNA". It matches the Rfam family "Bacterial small subunit ribosomal RNA", at positions 28 to 507 of the family's 1533-position model. The record is from RNAcentral.